GACGAACGCUUGCGGCGUGCCUAAGAAAUGCAAGUCGAGCGAGGUCGAGGCUUCGGCCUUUAGACCUAGCGGCGAACGGUCGCGUAACACGUAAGCAACCUGCCCCAGAGUGGGGGAUAGCCCGCCGAAAGGCGGAUUAAUACCGCAUGUGGACAACUCGACGCAUGUUGGGUUGUCUAAAGCAGCAAUGCGCUCUGGGAUGGGCUUGCGGCCUAUCAGCUAGUUGGUGAGGGUAACGGCCCACCAAGGCGACGACGGGUAGCUGGUCUGAGAGGAUGGUCAGCCGGACUGGGACUGAGACACGGCCCAGACUCCUACGGGGGGCAGCAAUUAGGAAUCUUGCGCAAUGGGCGAAAGCCUGACGCAGCGACGCCGCGUGACCGAUGAAGUCCUUCGGGAUGUAAAGGUCUUUUCUGAGGGAAGAAGGAUGUGACGGUACCUCAGGAAUAAGCCCCGGCUAACUACGUG
Molecule: ribosomal RNA, 468 nt
Filed under: uncultured organism
Description: bacterial SSU rRNA
Rfam family: Bacterial small subunit ribosomal RNA
Source: RNAcentral